Molecule: ribosomal RNA, 600 nt
Filed under: uncultured bacterium
Lineage: Bacteria
Description: bacterial SSU rRNA
Rfam family: Bacterial small subunit ribosomal RNA (bases 1-523)
Source: RNAcentral
CCUACGGGAGGCAGCAGUAGGGAAUUUUCCACAAUGGGCGAAAGCCUGAUGGAGCAAUACCGCGUGCAGGAUGAAGGCCUUCGGGUCGUAAACUGCUUUUAUGUGCGAAGAAUUUGACGGUAACACAUGAAUAAGGAUCGGCUAACUACGUGCCAGCAGCCGCGGUCAUACGUAGGAUCCAAGCGUUAUCCGGAAUUACUGGGCGUAAAGAGUUGCGUAGGUGGCAUUAUAAGUGGAGCGUGAAAGCGUGCGGCUCAACCGCAUUAUUGCGUUCCAAACUGUGAAGCUUGAGUAUGGGAGAGGUAGAUGGAAUUUCUAGUGUAGGAGUGAAAUCCGUAGAUAUUAGAAGGAACACCGAUGGCGUAGGCAGUCUACUGGCCCAUUACUGACACUAAGGCACGAAAGCGUGGGGAGCAAACGGGAUUAGAUACCCCGGUAGUCCACGCUGUAAACUAUGGAUGCUAGCUGUGACACACACUCGUACGUGUGUCGUAGACGAGUAACGUACGUACGACACUCCGCCGUCGGUAGGUACGGUCGCGAGAGUAACUACGAAGAAGUAGACGCGNGAGACGUGCGACGACGACGACGAGGGAGAGG